Molecule: ribosomal RNA, 798 nt
Filed under: uncultured Staphylococcus sp.
Lineage: Bacteria; Bacillati; Bacillota; Bacilli; Caryophanales; Staphylococcaceae
Description: SSU rRNA
Rfam family: Bacterial small subunit ribosomal RNA
Source: RNAcentral
CUUGCUCCUCUGACGUUAGCGGCGGACGGGUGAGUAACACGUGGAUAACCUACCUAUAAGACUGGGAUAACUUCGGGAAACCGGAGCUAAUACCGGAUAAUAUAUUGAACCGCAUGGUUCAAUAGUGAAAGACGGUUUUGCUGUCACUUAUAGAUGGAUCCGCGCCGCAUUAGCUAGUUGGUAAGGUAACGGCUUACCAAGGCAACGAUGCGUAGCCGACCUGAGAGGGUGAUCGGCCACACUGGAACUGAGACACGGUCCAGACUCCUACGGGAGGCAGCAGUAGGGAAUCUUCCGCAAUGGGCGAAAGCUUGACGGAGCAACGCCGCGUGAGUGAUGAAGGUCUUCGGAUCGUAAAACUCUGUUAUUAGGGAAGAACAAAUGUGUAAGUAACUAUGCACGUCUUGACGGUACCUAAUCAGAAAGCCACGGCUAACUACGUGCCAGCAGCCGCGGUAAUACGUAGGUGGCAAGCGUUAUCCGGAAUUAUUGGGCGUAAAGCGCGCGUAGGCGGUUUUUUAAGUCUGAUGUGAAAGCCCACGGCUCAACCGUGGAGGGUCAUUGGAAACUGGAAAACUUGAGUGCAGAAGAGGAAAGUGGAAUUCCAUGUGUAGCGGUGAAAUGCGCAGAGAUAUGGAGGAACACCAGUGGCGAAGGCGACUUUCUGGUCUGUAACUGACGUUGAUGUGCGAAAGCGUGGGGAUCAAACAGGAUUAGAUACCCUGGUAGUCCACGCCGUAAACGAUGAGUGCUAAGUGUUAGGGGGUUUCCGCCCCUUAGUGCUGCAGCUAACGCAUU